Molecule: non-coding RNA, 22 nt
Filed under: Arabidopsis thaliana (thale cress)
Lineage: Eukaryota; Viridiplantae; Streptophyta; Magnoliopsida; Brassicales; Brassicaceae
Source: RNAcentral
CCGGUCAUCGGUGCUCUUCGCC